AGGAUAUACUGUUCUCACAUAUAUAGUAUAAAUGUAUUUGGAAAAUAUUAUUAUUUACUCCCAAGGAGGAGAAUGAUGUAAAGAAAUAUAUUAAGUUGUAAAUAUUUAUUUAUUCUCAAAGGUUGUGUGUUUUGUGUGAGAUGCUUGGUCUUCAAGUAGUACUAAUUUAGUAGCUAUUUCUAGUUUUGUACACAUUUUUGUAAAAUUACAAUAAUUGAAAAGAUUGAAAAAUUAUAAUUGAAAAGAUUGAAAAAUUAUAGUUGAAAAGAUUGAAAAAUGAUAAAAAUAAAAAUAAGAUUGAUACUAAACAGUAAUAGAUUAUGAUUUGGUUAUGUAUGGUAGGACUUAAAUUAGUAUGUAUGUAGAACAUUUCUUUAUUCAAAUUUUGCUGCAAUUAUAUGCACAGUACAGUGAAACGAAAAGAUAAGAAAAAUAAUUCUUUUGCUUUCGAGAAUAAAACGAAUCUCUCAUAUAAAUGAGAUGUGAUAUCAUAAUAAGACAUUCCACAUGAAAAAAUUUUGUGCUGUUUUUUUGUGCAAUCAAUCUGAUGCAGUGUUUUGAUAAAGUGCUUGGGUAACAGUUAUAUAUGUGUGUUUGAUUUCAUAUUGAGGAAAUGUAUAUACGUCUGUUAAAUUGCUUAUAUUGCCAAAUACAUUCCAAGUAAAGAACAAUAAAAUAGAAUUGAAAUUUAUUUUGAUAUAUACUUCGUUUUGUGGUUAUACAUUUUACGAGUGACAACUGACAAAUUUCGUGGUUUUUAAAAGCUUCUUAUGGCAAAUCAUAAUGGUGUGAUUUCAGAAUGAAAAUUAUUAAAACCUCCUCAAAGUUUGAUAUUUUUUGUAUGUCAGAAAAAAGUGAGACAAAGGACUUUAACAUCACCUGAAGUUUUAUCAUGUUCAUGUCAGUAGAUAAAAACAAAUAUGAUAUUUUGUUAGUCUUAAGAUUAUUCACGCUUAUCAGUUAGAUAAUUGCCCAGUCCUAUUUAUAUUGUAUUGCAGAUUCACUCUUGACAGCAACUGUCAUUUAAAAAAAAUAAGUAGAAAUAUUUUUCAACCAAAUAUUGGCAAGUUAAAUGUAUGUAUUUCUUCACAGGAUGUUACUGUUUAUCUUUUACCAAACUUUAGACCAUUAUUGAUUGUUAGAUUGUUAAAAGUUUGAUAUACAUGAAUGUUAACAUUUAUUUUAUAUGCAGUAUAUUUUGUUAAAGGUGUAUUUAUAGUUGUUUUAUUUAAGAUCCAUUAUGUUUCCAUGGUGUUUGUUGGUUAUGUUUAUAAUGAUUUUCAAAUUGUUAAAAUGAAGAAAAUAAUCUUUUAUUUCCUGAAAGCUUAAAAUCAUAAAU
This 1339-nucleotide long non-coding RNA is filed under the name Mytilus galloprovincialis (Mediterranean mussel). The record is from RNAcentral. Lineage: Eukaryota; Metazoa; Mollusca; Bivalvia; Mytilida; Mytilidae.